CUACUGUAUCUGUUCAACAGAACAAGAGACCCAGGUCGGUGAUCCAAGCUCCCCCUCAGGCUCCAGUGGUAGAACGUGGUAAGAUCUAUUAACAUUGCGGUAGGGAUCACGGGGACCGACUCUGCUACCGCCUCAACAACACUUGUUGCAUAUGUGGUAGUGCCCAACAUUAUGCGAGAGAGUGCCCAAGGAACCCGAAUCAGGGCAGACCUCCUAUUCAAGGCAGAGCUUACAAUCUCACCCAGCAGGAUACUGAAGCCGACCCAGACGUGGUACAGGGUAUGUAUACUAUCUGUAACCAUCUUGCUCAUGUUUUGAUUGACACUAGUGCAUCGCAUUCAUUUGUUUCACCUG
This 354-nucleotide long non-coding RNA is filed under the name Carica papaya (papaya). RNAcentral describes it as "long non-coding RNA (CPAP_LNC001702)". The record is from RNAcentral. Lineage: Eukaryota; Viridiplantae; Streptophyta; Magnoliopsida; Brassicales; Caricaceae.